GCCGGGCGUGGUGGCGGGCGCCUGUAAUCCCAGCUACUUGGGAGGCUGAGGCAGGAGAAUCGCUUGAACCCGGGAGGUGGAGGUUGCAGUGAGCUGAUAUCAUGCCACUGUACUCCAGCCUGAACUACAGAGUGAGACUCUGUCUCAA
Molecule: non-coding RNA, 148 nt
Filed under: Homo sapiens (human)
Lineage: Eukaryota; Metazoa; Chordata; Mammalia; Primates; Hominidae
Source: Rfam by way of RNAcentral